This 371-nucleotide ribosomal RNA is filed under the name Triatoma infestans. Its description in RNAcentral is "partial 12S ribosomal RNA". Lineage: Eukaryota; Metazoa; Arthropoda; Insecta; Hemiptera; Reduviidae. The record is from RNAcentral.
UGGGAUUAGAUACCCCACUAUCAUGAACAGUAAUUCGGUAAUCUUAGUAUUAAUAGUUAUGAUCUUUAAAUUAAAAGAAUUUGGCGGUAAUCUAGUCUGUUCAGAGGAAUCUGCCCUGUAAUUGAUAUUCCACGAUGAAUUUUACUUUAUCUAUGCUUGUAUAUCUCUGUCAUUGAAUGUCCUAUUAGGGUAUUUUCUUUAAUCUUUAAUGUGUAAGAUGUCAGGUCAAGGUGCAGCGAUGGUGAAGAAGAGGUGGAUUACAUUAAAUUUAUUUAUGGAUAGUGAAUAUGGAAAUUUUCUUGAAAUUGGAUUUGAAAGUAAUUUCUAUUAGAAUAUAGAUUUGAUUUUAGCUCUAGAUUAUGCACACACCG